CAAAUUACUGUGGCUAUAUUUCUUUCCAAAAGCAUUGGCCAUGGACAUGGAAUAAUAGUACAGGCCUUAUAACUGUGAUGUCCGUCCCUGUGCCUGGAGCUUUGUGCAUAUUUGGAACAGACAAGCCAGAAAAUCAGCAUGAAUCAGAGACAUGAACUACUCUAUGGAGGGUUCAGUGGGUUAAAACUGACACUGCCACCCUUCCUGGGUUUAAACCAUGGCAACUUUUCAGCAUGUUUGCUUUCUGGCUGGGUGCACUGAAAAUCAAUUCCACCGGAAAAGGCCAGCCGCACAAUCUGAAGUGACUUCUUCCACACCAGGGGCUCCUGAAAUGAAGAGUGUGCUGUGACUGUGUGGAUGAGAAAGGUCCUUCUAAACACAUGGGGCAGAAUGAAAGAAAACAUGGCCUGUGCCACUGAGCACAAACAUGCUUGACUUUCUCCUGGGCAGGAAAGCAGAGAGAAAAGAACGCUUUACCAUGUCUUGGCUGGCCACAUUUUCUUUGCUCAGUUAACUGGUCAACACUGGCCUGGGGAAUGAGUUGAAUGCCACAUUUCUCAUUUUACCCUGUUUGCUUGCAGGUAGAAGUGUGUGUCUCCGGCGUCUUUGCCUAUCCUCUUAGUUUAUCUUCACCCUAUCUUUCCUCCCAACUGUGCCUCUGAAUAUUAGGUAAAUGCCUCCUGGUUUUUCUAAUCCCUUUGCUGGCAAGCUUCUGGCCAUCCAUUAUAGCUGCCUGGAUUGCUUUAAUCAAAGCAGCACAUUCUUGUUUGGCUCCAUUUCCAGGAUUUCUGUCUUGUUGCUUUUUUUUUUUCCAUCUUCUUCAUUCCCUUUACCCAUAAACUUUUAUUAGACCUUUGUGAAGCCAACUGAGAUAGCAGGGAGUAUACAUUAUAAUUCAUUUGAAAAAGAAUCAGCUGCAUUUUGAUGAGAGGGAUCAUUUUGCAAGGCGAUUGGGAAGCGCAGCUAUUGUGCCCCUUCUCUGUGUGCAGGGUUGGAAAGCACAGGCUAGCACUUGUCUGUUCUCACCUCAGGUUAGCAGUCUGGUCACAUAGGCAGCCUGGCACCAAUUGCUAGCCAUAUCUCACCCUUGCUAUGGCAGGAGGUGAUCAAUAGAUGGAUUAAUCACACUUUGGGGAGCUCACACCCUGGGAAGGAGAGAAAAUGAGGUUUGGAAGAGAAGGCUGCUGCCAACAUGUUCUGCCUGGAGUUUGCAGACUGGUACACAAAAUGCAAGUCUGCAAAGAAAUCCCCUCUGCCCAGAAGGAUGACCAAGACCAGCUGCAUAAUGAAAGCUUCUAGAAAUUUGCCAUCCACUUGAUUUCAGCUGAUCAGCACAGCUUUAAAAAAAAUUAGAGACACUAAAGAUGGUCCAAAGCCAUUUAAAAAGUGUAAUGGGACUUAAGUGAUAUAGUGAAUAAGAUUAUGCUUAUUUAUAGGGACCAGUCUUCAUCUAUGCAUAGUUUUCAGCACGAAAGGAACCAUGAUGGGGUUUCUUAAAUGUAUCUCUAAAGUCACUGAAAUUUGAUAGGGCACUGUGUCUUAUGUUUGUUUCAUUUAUUUAUUUGUAACAGGAAGGUUUACAAUGAGGAAGAAUAGAUUAGAAAUUAGGGAUGGGUUAGGAGAAGCAGAAGAGAAAUACCCGAUUACUGACAAAUAGGUCUAGGUGACUCAGAAGCCCACACCUACUGUAAUAAGAGCUGUUGCAUGUGCAAAGAACACCACAUUUUGGACCAAUGGACUUCAGUUUGAGUCCUUCCUCUGCUAUGGACCAGACAAAGGAAAGUAACUGAAUCUGUAGUCUCAAAACCACCUUCACAAAACAUGUUUUGUGAAGUUGAGGCAUGGAGUACACAAACACUGCUUCAUCAACUGAAGAAGGAUCUCUAAAUUUAAGUAUCGUUACAAAGGACAAGUGACUGCUCAGCCUUAAGCAGCAACUGACUUAGAUCCAAGCAUUAUCAGGGGCUGGAGCGAAGAGCCACGGAGGAGCAAGAUGCUGAGGCCCGGGGUCAGUGAAACGGAAGACGGGGGACAAAAUGUGCCCUGUAUGUCCUCUCUAAGCAGAUUUCUUACCCAUAUACAAUAAUUCCUGUAUGGCCUUGUGCCCCAAAACCUCUGGGAACAAAGGGCAAAAAAAAGCAGAGCAGGUUGCCCACAUUGUCCUUCUAUCUAGAAUGUUCUCCUUUUCCUCUUCAAAUAUCUAAACCACCGUGUAGUUAAACUUCUACAUGUUUACCCCUACCCUGUAAGGUGUUCACACAAAAACCUGUAUAAGAAUGGUUACUAAUAAUUGCCCAAUGCUGGAAAGAACCAGUUCUUCACUUGUGAAUGGAUAGAGGAAUUGUAUAUGUCUGUACAAUGAAAAUGACUCAAUAAUAAAGAGGAAAGCCCAUGA
Long non-coding RNA from Chinchilla lanigera (long-tailed chinchilla), 2395 nucleotides. RefSeq lists it as uncharacterized. The transcript has 3 exons. The record is from RefSeq and is a predicted model, not a curated record. NCBI's taxonomy places the organism in Eukaryota, Metazoa, Chordata, Mammalia, Rodentia, Chinchillidae.